This is a long non-coding RNA of Bubalus bubalis (water buffalo), 871 nucleotides long. RefSeq lists it as uncharacterized. The record is from RefSeq and is a predicted model, not a curated record. Lineage: Eukaryota; Metazoa; Chordata; Mammalia; Artiodactyla; Bovidae. The transcript is spliced from 2 exons.
UGGAAAUAUUAAGUUGCUCUGCUUUUGGAAGUUGCUUCUACAGUGGAAGGCCAAUGGGGAUUGUAUUUUUAUGGCCUCAUUUUGAAAUGGGCAGUAUAGGGAAAGAGCAAUUGGCCAAGAUGGUGGUGGUCAGGUUCCCUCACCCCAACGGCUUCUUGCUCUUGCCCUACGUUUUGUGAAUAAUGAUUUUGUAACAGCUGAGAUCAUUUAUAGCACUGCGCAUGCGCGUAACCUAUAUAAGCACCGCCUGACACGUCCUUGCCGCUGCAUCCGCUGGGUCAACCAAGAGAGAAUGUAGCAUGUCUGCUGCUGCCGCCGCCUUGCUGCUGCGAAUAAAGAAUACCUGUAGUUCCUAUGACUCCUUGCAUCUUCUUCCAUCUUCCCAUCUGCUUCCCAGCUCCCGCCUUGCCUACCCUGGGUUCAGCGAACAGCGAGACAGGCAGCUCCUCAGAUGAGCUGAGGCAGUAGUUUACAAAUUUUGUUGAUCAGCAGAAUGUUGGAUGAGAGAAAAGUAUGAACUGCUGUUUUUUCAUAUGAAGUCCUCAGAUCAGCUGCAUCCACACGUUCAGAAGCUUAUUCUAAAACUGCUGUUCUCCAGGCCUCGCCUAGACCUAAAGAAUCAGAAAUUCUGAGAAGUGGUGCUGCAUUUUGGGCAGGACUCUCAGGGGACGUUGAACUUUGAGCAGAGCCCUGAAACACUGAGAGUCUAGGUAAUGAGGCUUCUGCGUUGUUGGAUGAAGAGGGAUUUUGUUAUGUAUAAAGGAACUCUGCAAAGCAGGUUAAGUGGCCUGCUGAAGGUCACCGAAUCAGUUAACAGGUGGUUGUAACAUACAAAACCCAGGGAGUUGAAUAAUAAAUUGAUGUGAAUCUA